UAUGAUCAUGGAAAGCACCAAGGACUGGAAGCAUGAACCUGAACCUGAAGAGCUUGUAGCUGAGGAUGCAACCUUGAAGAACAUUUGGAAACAAGAAGAAUACAUUAGUCUUGGCCGAAGCUUGAUCAUCCAAGACACCUUAACCAUCAUUCAAGCUACUCCACCUUCAAGCUGAUCAUCAUCUAGGCAAGUAGCUUGUGUGUGCUCUUUUCCUAACCUUUGGUUUUGUCCCACUGGGUUUUCCAAAGGAAGGUUUUUAACGAGGCCACAAGUCUACUUCUCCUAUCUCCUAGAUGAUUGAUCUUGGUCUGUCCACAUGAAGACCUUAUCUUAUAUUUUAAGCUAUGCUUUUAUGUUAUUUAGUUUUCGAAAAACUCUAGUCUUUGUUGUGUUUCCAAGGGAGCCUUGUCUUUAUUUUCCUUGUAUUUUCGAGACCUUGUGCAUGUACAAGGCUUCUCCUUUAUAUUCUGGUCGUGGCCCCUUGUAUCAGUAUCCAUCUUUUUAUCAAAAACCUUUGUUUUCUCUUUUCUUCUUGCUUGUCGAGUUGAUUGAGUGUUGGUGUGUAAUAUCCAACUUCUGGUGUGUAAUAUCCAGAGACUAAGGGCUCUAGUUUGGUGUGUCAUAUCCAAUCUAUUGCCUAGGAGUAUCAAGGAGCCUUUCCGCAGCCUCUUGUGUCACCAUUCGAUCCACAUACCUUGAGAAACUUGAGUCUUUUGAUUCGUUUCUGCAAGGAUUAUCCCAUCUGUUCCAGAGCAUCAUCCUAGGAUCUCAUCAAGUGGUAUCAGAGCAACUCUGGAAGGGAAGUGUUCGAUUUUUCUCUCUGAUUUUCGUUUGGGUCUGAUCAUAUUCUGUCAAGUUUGAUCUGAUCUGUGUUCUUAGCGUUUAAAUCUGAUAAAUCCGUUUGUGUUUGCUAAAAACCUGUCGAUCUAUUCUUAUUCUCACUAGUUUUGAUUGAUCUAUGAUUGUGUUGUUGAGUUUUAAUAGAUUCAAGCUUGUUGAUCUCGUUUCUGAUAAAAACUUUUCACAUUCUUGUUGCAGAAGUAAUCGAUUUGCUUGAUCUGUUUCUGUUUUGGAUUUGUGUGAUUCCGAUCUGUUCUUAUUGCUUUGAAUAUAAUCUAUCUUGUUUGGUUGAUUAGAUUUCGAAUUUAAUCUGUCUCUGUUUAAGAUUGAUCGAUCAUAUUGCGUUGGUGAAUUGUUUCUGAUUAUCAAACUUGUUCUGAUUAUCAACCUGAUUGUGUUUGAAUUUUUAUUCUCGAUUUGAUCUGUUCUGAUUGUUGUCUAAAUCCAAUAAUUGUGAUCUGUUUUGUUAGAACUACUUACUGGCUUAAUUUUUUUCUCUUGUCUCAGGUACCAUGGCAAGAGAUCAAAAAGGAGAACUCAGUAAGAAAGAAAAGCUUUUUCUUGAAGAAUUCACAGCCAGUCUGGAUAAAGCCUGCAAAGAUCAGUUGAGAAAAUUCAGACAAGACCUACAUCAGCAAAGGAAAGGCAGAUCAUCCAGAGAUGAGUACAAGAAAAAGGAGUUUGAUCAGAUGGACAGAAACCGGAAGCAUGCUGGAUUGAAAUAUCAAAUUCCUUCUUUUCAUGGCAACGCUGAUCCUGCUGCAUAUGUGGAAUGGGAAGAGAAGAUGGAGUUGAUUUUCGACUAUCAAAGCUAUGCUGAAGUAAAGAAGGUUCAAUUAGCCACUGCUGAGUUUUGUGGUUAUGCUUCAAGCUGGUGGAAGCAAUUGGUGUCGUCUAGGAGACACUAUGGAAAAGAACCUGUUGCAACCUGGCUUAAAUUAAGGGCUUUGAUGCGUCAUAAGUAUGUUCCAAGACAGUACCACAAGGAAGUGCUUCGAAAACAGUCUGAAACAAAGCCAUGCUCUGCAAACUCAGUCCAGGAACAACAAGGCAGGAUCAGAUCAAGAUCAACCGGUGUUAUUGGUUUACCUAGCAAGACAACGAGCUGGUUCUGUGAGGAGGACAUAAAGAAGCUGUCUCAAGUGAUUAUGGAUGUGGAGAAACAAUUCAGGGAGACCCACACUACACGUCCAUCCUUAGAAGAACAGAACCAGGAGUUAAUCACUUCAGUCUCAGAACUUAAUUCAGCAGAGCCGGUAUCAGCUACAUCUAUUCAAGGAGAUCAAGCCAAAGAAUCAUCAGCUGCCAUUCAGAAAGAUGAGCAGCCUGUUCAGAACGUCAUGGUUCCUUUCAAACAAGCCAUAGUACCAGAAGAGACACCCAGGGAACCACAGACAGCUUGCAAAAAGAGACAACUGAUUGUCUUUGACCCGUGUGAUUUCCAAAAGACAUUCUUGGGUAUUUUUCUGUUCAAUCCCUUUGUCUGGAACAAGACCAGAGCAGUAGAGCUUUCAAGACACGAACUGGGCAUGGAACAUGUUGUAUUUGAGCCUGGAGGAGAGUUGUGGAAUCACAGGAACAAUCCCAUAGUGAUUGAGAAGAAAUCGGCAGCAACAACAAUUGUUUUUGGUGAUCUUUUACCCUCUGAAGCUAAAGGGAUGCACGUCUCAGCUCAGCAAGAUUUUCACUACGAAACCAAUUGGAGAAUGUUACCCACUCUUUCCUGGAUCCAACAAACCGGAAAACGCAGCAAAUGGCCACCUGAUCAUCAAGAUAUUGUCAAUUCCGCAAAACAUAUCGGUUUAGCCAAAUUCUGUGAGCUGCUUAUAUCAGAUUGGGCUGGAAGGUUACAGAUCUACUUGUGGAAACCUGGAGCAUAUGACAGCACACUUAUCAUCCUUGGAGAGUGCUCUGCUCGUGCUAGAACCAGCUUGGGUAAUAAGGAGUUGGAAGCUGAUCAAAAUGCCUUGCUUCUUGAUCAUGUCAAGGCGUGGAAGCCACCAGAUUUGCAGAAGCUUCAAUACCAUUUCAGAGAUUGUCAAAUCAAGAGUGGAGAUGGAGAUCUCAUUAGAGUAGGUCAAACAGUUUUGAGUGCUAUACUUUUCGAAAGGAGAGGCUAUAGUAAUGAUCAGAGUAUCAAGAAUGGAUCCUUGGCUAAGUUGGAGAUGCAACAAUCAAAUCUUGGAAGCUGUCUAGCCGCCAACUCUGACAUAGGAGCAGUCCGAGGAUCAUAUCUCAGCAACCAGAAGGAAUUAAGCAACAAACUCAACUGCAAUGGAAACUACACUCAUCAGGGUCUCACGUCGAACUGGAAUCAUGUCCAAAGCUUCUCAAAUGAAAGAGUUAUGGGUUCUACAAGACGGGUGAUUCUGUGUUUGCUUUGUCUGAACUUUUCUGAGUUUAGAACAUCUCAAUCCUAUCUAUGGCGACCAGGUGAGCAUGCUAAGGUAACUAAUCAUGUUUUCAAGAGUUCUUUUAUUGAUUACACAGAUAUGAUGCACUUGUUUUUGCCAAAAGAGUCAUGUGCAGAUUAUAUGGAAGCUUUGAAGAAUGCAAAGAGAAAGAACAAGCGUGAGGAAGACAAACGUUUCAAGCCGCCUGAUCUAAGCCAGGAGAGACAUCAGGACGUCACUUGCUUCAUCCUCAUCAAAGAAGCACCUCCAGAUGCAGCAUACAAGCCAAAACCGAGAAAAGACAACUUUGGGAUAAGACUCUUACUCUAUGAUGAUUUUGCUUGUGUUAACUUGUCUUGUUUCAAUGUAUCAGGUUUAAGUAAUGCCUCAGGAGUGAGGAAAGCCAAAUGGAUCAGUCCCUUCUACCUAAUAGAACCAGUCAGCGACAAUGCCUAUCAAAGAGGCUUGCAAGGUAAGUGUAAUCUGAUUAUAAACUCUGAUGUUACUGACUUGGUCCCUUCUAUUGCAGGUAACACAGAUUUGAGGACAAAUCUUUUUGAAGUGGGAGGGGAUGAUAUGAUCAUGGAAAGCACCAAGGACUGGAAGCAUGAACCUGAACCUGAAGAGCUUGUAGCUGAGGAUGCAACCUUGAAGAACAUUUGGAAACAAGAAGAAUACAUUAGUCUUGGCCGAAGCUUGAUCAUCCAAGACACCUUAACCAUCAUUCAAGCUACUCCACCUUCAAGCUGAUCAUCAUCUAGGCAAGUAGCUUGUGUGUGCUCUUUUCCUAACCUUUGGUUUUGUCCCACUGGGUUUUCCAAAGGAAGGUUUUUAACGAGGCCACAAGUCUACUUCUCCUAUCUCCUAGAUGAUUGAUCUUGGUCUGUCCACAUGAAGACCUUAUCUUAUAUUUUAAGCUAUGCUUUUAUGUUAUUUAGUUUUCGAAAAACUCUAGUCUUUGUUGUGUUUCCAAGGGAGCCUUUGUCUUUAUUUCCCUUGUAUUUUCGAGACCUUGUGCAUGUACAAGGCUUCUCCUUUAUAUUCUGGUCGUGGCCCCUUGUAUCAGUAUCCAUCUUUUUAUCAAAAACCUUUGUUUUCUCUUUUCUUCUUGCUUGU
Molecule: long non-coding RNA, 4349 nt
Filed under: Brassica napus (rape)
Lineage: Eukaryota; Viridiplantae; Streptophyta; Magnoliopsida; Brassicales; Brassicaceae
Description: long non-coding RNA (BNAP_LNC000745)
Source: RNAcentral